AUUGAACGCUGGCGGCAUGCCUUACACAUGCAAGUCGAACGGCAGCGGGGGAGAAGCUUGCUUUUCCUGCCGGCGAGUGGCGAACGGGUGAGUAAUACAUCGGAACGUGCCCUGUAGUGGGGGAUAACUAGUCGAAAGAUUAGCUAAUACCGCAUACGACCUGAGGGUGAAAGUGGGGGACCGCAAGGCCUCAUGCUAUAGGAGCGGCCGAUGUCUGAUGAGCUAGUUGGGGGGGUAAAGGCCUACCAAGGCGACGAUCAGUAGCUGGUCUGAGAGGGCGAUCAGCCACACUGGGACUGAGACACGGCCCAGACUCCUACGGGAGGCAGCAGUGGGGAAUUUUGGACAAUGGGCGAAAGCCUGAUCCAGCAAUGCCGCGUGUGUGAAGAAGGCCUUCGGGUUGUAAAGCACUUUUGUCCGGAAAGAAAUGGCUCUGGUUAAUACCUGGGGUCGAUGACGGUACCGGAAGAAUAAGGACCGGCUAACUACGUGCCAGCCGCCGCGGUAA
RNAcentral lists this ribosomal RNA (508 nucleotides) under uncultured bacterium. RNAcentral's name for it is "partial 16S ribosomal RNA". It matches the Rfam family "Bacterial small subunit ribosomal RNA", at positions 30 to 523 of the family's 1533-position model. The record is from RNAcentral.